Molecule: ribosomal RNA, 253 nt
Filed under: uncultured Oscillospira sp.
Lineage: Bacteria; Bacillati; Bacillota; Clostridia; Eubacteriales; Oscillospiraceae
Description: partial 16S ribosomal RNA
Rfam family: Bacterial small subunit ribosomal RNA
Source: RNAcentral
UACGUAGGUGGCAAGCGUUGUCCGGAUUUACUGGGUGUAAAGGGCGUGCAGCCGGGCUGACAAGUCAGAUGUGAAAUCCCGCGGCUCAACCGCGGAACUGCAUUUGAAACUGUCAGUCUUGAGUACCGGAGAGGUCAUCGGAAUUCCUUGUGUAGCGGUGAAAUGCGUAGAGAUAUGGAGGAACACCAGUGGCGAAGGCGGCUUCCUGGUCUGCAACUGACACUGAGGCGCGAAAGCGUGGGGAGCAAACAGG